This is a long non-coding RNA of Bombina bombina (fire-bellied toad), 150 nucleotides long. RefSeq lists it as uncharacterized. Lineage: Eukaryota; Metazoa; Chordata; Amphibia; Anura; Bombinatoridae. The record is from RefSeq and is a predicted model, not a curated record. The transcript is spliced from 3 exons.
GACAACUAAAGCUAACGCCAACUUCUGCUUCCAAAACGGGCCAGGGCGGGUGGGAAAAACACUCCUUGAAGUCUGGAACCUGGAAAGAGGCCGAAUCAACAGCAACAGGACCCUAUAAAGAGCCUCUCCUCCUGGGGGAUCUGUCCGAAU